This 210-nucleotide ribosomal RNA is filed under the name Triticum aestivum (bread wheat). RNAcentral describes it as "partial small subunit ribosomal RNA". The record is from RNAcentral. Lineage: Eukaryota; Viridiplantae; Streptophyta; Magnoliopsida; Poales; Poaceae.
AUGACUGUGCCCUACAUUGUGGGGGGAGACUUUAAUAUCCUAAGACAUUCAGGGGAGAAGAAUAAGAAGAUGGUGAACAAUAAAGCCACUGACCUGUUCAACUCCAUUAUCAAUAUGCUAGCUCUUAAGGAAAUUCAUAUUAAUGGGGGAAGAUAUACCUGGACUAACAACCAGACCCAUCCCACGCUAGAAAAGCUUGACCGCAUCCUU